This is a long non-coding RNA of Drosophila guanche, 1776 nucleotides long. RefSeq lists it as uncharacterized. The transcript is spliced from 2 exons. The record is from RefSeq and is a predicted model, not a curated record. NCBI's taxonomy places the organism in Eukaryota, Metazoa, Arthropoda, Insecta, Diptera, Drosophilidae.
AACUUUAUAUUCGUUUUCCAGCGAUCACACAAAACACAAUGAAGCUCUAUCUUGGAUUCCUCCUGGCCGUUGUCCUGCCUCUGCUUGUGACUGCUGGCUCCAAGGAACCGAAGCAAGACGAGGCAGCCUCAACAGCAGCACCCUAGACACGCCCUUCGGUCCAAAGGCCUUUUGGUCAAAAUCUGGCGAAGAUCGAGUUUAGAAGCAAAAGUGUGAAGGAUGGAAAUGGCGGAGGAGGAGCAAUGAGGAUCGCGAUAGAAAAGAUGUCCAACAUUUUAGUGAAACUCCUGGCAAUUCUGUUGUCUCCUGUGGACAUCAUAUCCCGACCGAGGUGGCAGGGCAACGGCAACUGGAGCAAGUGGCCAGCGGUAAGCUGGAGACAAAGCGUCCAGCAGCAAAGUGGUGGGCGGGGGGCGGGGCCGAACACAUAGAAAUUUAUAGCACACAUGCUGUAAACAUGUUCAUCAGUUUUUGCUGCUCUGAGUGUCAAGCUCGCCCCGCAAAGGCCGUGGCAGCCAACAACGUGCGCUGCGGUGCGCUCACGUGUUGGGGCACCACACAAAAACAAAGCAGCACCAGCGCAAUGCAGGCAAACGAGAGGCAGCAACAAAACAACAAGAAAUUGUAUUGUAUGCAGCAACAAUUGGCAGCAGCAGUGGCAACCAAACAGCGACUCGACGGCCUGGUAUCCAGCAGGAAGCGCCCCUUGGCUGACUCGUAGGAGUGCGCGUUCUCCCCACCUGCUACCCCUCAAUGGAUACUUGUGAGCGCCGUGGCCCGGUAGCUACAAAUAAUAAAAGGAUGAUAGUCAAAGUUUAAUGACAGUUCAAAUGAUGUUGCCGCCGCUGUGCCAGCUGCGCCCCCUGCAUGCAGCAUCGCUGCUGCUGUUACUGUUGCUGUUGCUGUUGCUGUUGCUGUUGCUUUUGCUGCAUUGCUGCACUUUCCGAUGUGGCAGCAAACAAUUGCACGUUGUUACACUUUCAGAGCACCUCUGGUGGGGCAGGUUACAAUGGGACACACUCGUUGGCGAUGCACAGAAGGGACUUGGGGUAUAUGUGUACCCUGCAGAUGGUCGGAAUAGGUCCUGGAAUAAUCGAUCUACUUGCGUCAUAACCCCUCCCUUUUUGGCAUGUCAACUUUGAUUUUAUAUUCCUCUUUUUUGCUCACCGAUAAAUCAGGAAAGGGCAUCCAAUGUGUCUGGUAAUUGAAAGAAAAAAUUCCUGUCUCUCAUUUUUUAUGCAUUAUUUUUGUGCAUCUCUUUGUUGGCGCUGCUCUGCUGCCGCUGCUCUGCUGAUAUUAUUAUGAUGGCUGCAGGCAACACGAUGUUGCAACAUGCGCUCGAACAUAAUACAUUUUUAUGCAUGAUUUCUCACAUUGCAUGUGAUGGCUGGCACUUGAUGUGCCACAUGGGGCGUAUGCCUGUCGGCCUGCUGAACCCACGACUCCUGACUCCUGACUGCUGACUGCUGAAAUAUGCAUUUAAAUAUUUAAAGUAAUUUGUGUUCAUGGCACACAGACCCAUAAAUAAGGGCUGGAAAAUCCAUCUUGCAGACUGUCUAAAAAUCGAGGAAAAUCUACAGACAGAUGUGUACUUAUGCCAAGAUCAAAAGCGCAGGCAGAGACAUCAAAUAGAAGGACGGAAAAUGCAGGUGCGCUGCCCUACAGUGGGUGGGUUACAACGCACUUCUGUUAUUGUAUGAAGGAUAGUUUGGAAUUUCUAGUUAAAUAAGAUGAGAUCUUGGAAACAGAAAAAUAAUAAAUGAAUCAGUAAUUUUA